This 8312-nucleotide long non-coding RNA is filed under the name Sus scrofa (pig). Its description in RNAcentral is "lncRNA (ENSSSCG00065000421.1)". The record is from RNAcentral. Lineage: Eukaryota; Metazoa; Chordata; Mammalia; Artiodactyla; Suidae.
GGUAGGGCUUGGGAUUCCAUAACCAGACCAAAUUAAACUACAUAAAACCAUGUCUUUAUAUAUUUCUAUGUUAGGUCUUGUUUUGUUUUUCCAGAUAAAAAUCCAAAAUAGUAUAAAGUCAAUUGAAUUCAGUUUAGUUUAUUCACACAAUAACAUAAAAUAAUUAUUAAAUAAUUUUGGAAACUCUUUGGUGGCAAAGGAAAAUAUUCUCUUUCUGAUAUACAAAAAGAAAUCAGAGUACAAAGCUCUACAUUUGCAUUGUGAUUGCAUAUGUAACAAGAAGAUAAAUAAAAUAUUAAAAAUAUUUAUGAGGAAGUUUAUUUCUUUACACUUUCUUUUAAUAUUUUCUAAAUAUUUCACAGUGUGUAUAGUGUGUUUAUAAUUAGAAAAACAAUGUUUUCAGAAUACUCUUUGCUCCCAUCUUUUAAAAGUAUUUCUAUGGACUGGUCUAUGUUUUUGUAGCAAUCCUGAUGAGAAAUCAUGAAAUAUUCUGCAUGAUUCAUUGACCACUGGAAGGCUUUGUGAUAGCAUUGAAGAUAACCUCCAGUGAGCUCAUAAAAAUAAUUACCUGAAAGUUGCACAAAUUCAGCAUUUUUAUGACAUGCAAAUAAAUAAAAGAAAGGAAGAAACAAGAGAUAACACAAGUAAGAUUUCAUAAAAGGGACAGCAAUAACUAUAUGUAAAAAGAAAUAAUAGAUGUUACCAAAUUGUGUAAAAUUUUGGCAGGUCAAUAGAACUGAAUGAGAGAGAGCCAAAAAAACCCUUCCUCCCUUGCUGUUCAAAAGAGGAACAAAGCACUAAUUACUCUCUGGCAUCAAAAUCUUAUUUAUAUUUAUGACCAAAAUUUUCUUAAAAGCCUUCCUCUUCAUUUGUAAAUUUCCUAAAAGAAUUGACCUAAGCCAAGCAAUCAAACUUUCCUCCAUGGAGGCAACAUAAGAAAAAAGAAUUCUUCCAUGCCUUGUUUAGUGUGUUUUUAUUUCAACUUUUGGAAGAAAAAACUCAAUCUCAACUGACAGCAUGACACAUGAUUCCCACCUAUAUAGUUAUUCUGAUUUACAUCCUAGACACCAUCAGGAAGAGGUUGUAUAGUUUGUUUUCUCCUGAACAUAAAAAAAAUUAAAGAUUUUGAAAGGAUCUCAGAGAAGAAUGUCAUAUUGAGGAUAUAUUAAAGAUGAUUUUAAAUUAUCAAAUAUCAGAAAAGCCUUGUUUAUAUUGUUCACUGCUUGGAAGGAAAGUAAAUUAUGAAAAUAAAAGAACCAGUGGCAUCUUAGAAGUAAAAUAAUGGCAUUCCAGACAUUUAGUACAUUGUGGCCUAAAACUUGGGAUUUAAUCAUUUGAUUUGGCAUGUCAUAAUUUUAAACUGAAAGUACUAAUAGAAACAUACCUGAAGGAGGUGAUUGAGUGCCUCUGCUCUUCUCUGUCUUUUCCUGCUUCCAUCCCAUAGAAACUGAACUCCCAAGUAAUCUACUUGACUGACGGACUUGUAAGAGAAGAAAUUAUAGCUGUAGGACCCAACUACUUUACUUCACCUUAUCAAAUGCACUCACCAAUUUAUGUUCUUAGCACUUUUCCUCAGUCUGACAAGGAUCAGGACUAUUCUGGGGCUUUUUAAGUCUCUUGUCUCUCUGGAUGGUGACAUUCUAUCUUGACAACUCAGAUCCAGCCACUAGGUACCACCCACGGGCCACUGAUAGCUUUUCAGCAUGUUCCAGGUAAAACAAGAGGAAACAAGACUGCAGACUGCAGUUUUCACUACUCUAUAUUACAACUCAUAAGUUUACUUUAGCCUUCAGAACACAACUUGAUAAGACUCAGCUCUGCAUAUAAACUGCUGAUUGAAUGCUUAUAAUAAAUGAAAGUCUUGGAUGCUAUGGAUAGGUUAUUGCUUUUAUUUUGAAGGGGGCCAACUAUGCACUGACUAAAUAUAUGAAGCUGUGUAGAAGAGCUGAGUUGUCCAGAAAACAUCGUUAGAGAUUGACACCUCAGCUGCCCAGAGAGAAUCAUGAAAGACUUUGAGCGAGAAUGGGAGUUGGAACUUGAAAAAUCAGUAUGUUUGGAGGGGUGCAGAGAAAAGAAGCAGGAAGAAGUAAUGACCUGUGUUAGCGAUUAAUGCAUUGUGUCCCAGGGGCUCUGUUGGUUGCUCCGCAUAUGCAGUCCCAUUUAAUUCUCGCUAGAUCACGAAGUUGAAACUCAGAGAAAGUAGUUUUUUGAAGACAGUGCAGAUGAGAAAUAUGGAAAAAUGAAUUCAGAUUCAGAUCUGCCUCACCCUUAAGAUUAUGUUGUUUUUAAUACACUGAACUAUACUAAGAAUGUUUUCUGGAAGGCAGACUGAUGAGAGAAAGAGUGAAGAGGUAUAAAUAAACACAAGCUUCAGGAUGACAGAGCUUCCUUCCUGGAAACAGUGGUUGGGAUGAAGCAACAAACACCAAACAAAAACACACCUUUUUUUUUUUGGCUAAGAAGAAUUGCAAGAUGAAAUUCCAUGUACUUGAUAUGCGUUUAUCAAAUCUGAAUUUAUUUCCUGAUUACAAAGUAAUACCAUGCUACUGGUAGAAUUAGGAAACUAUAGAAUCACCAGCUAUAGAGUCAGCCAGAGCUAGCUACUGUCAAUAUUUUCCCAUGUCUUUCUUUUCUCUUUAAUACGUAUAUACUUAUGUAUGUAUAUGUAUAUAUAAUUAUAAUAAUUUAUUAUUAUUGAACAUUGAAUUUUUUCAGGCUUUUAAAUUUGUUUUUAUGGUUUUUCAAUUAUAAAUGAUGUCUGAUUUGCAUGUAAAUCAUUUUAUUCUCUUCUGGUUUUUCCAUAUGAAACAAUUUUUAAACAAAAAAUUCAGCUUACCUUGUUUCCUAUAAUAUCAAAAAUUAAAAUUAAACUUCAAUCUUGUGUCACUGUACAUACUAAAGCCGUUUAGGGGAUGAACAAAUAUCCUAGCAUAAUAUUGGCCCAGCCAUCAUCAUCACCAUCAUCUUCACUGGAGGUUGUUAAUCUUUCACUCCAUUCAUGAAGAGAAAGAAAGAGAGAUUAAAGACGAGAUUGAGGAAGAAGUUAGAAAGAAAGGGAGGAAGAAGAACACUGGUUUCCCUUUCUCAGGAAGAGAUGCAUUUUCUCCAGGAAGGCAAAGAGUGAAUUCCAUUGUGGUCUUGAGGGGUGGUGAGAAGCACUCAUUUUAGAUUUGGUCGAAGUGUUUAUUGGCUAUUUAAUACUGACUAACCCUCAGAGGUGUGCAUCUACAUCACUUUGCCGAUGUAUCUCCUCAUUCAGGAACAUUACUCAGUGAAGAAAACCACUUGGAUUCAAAUCCCAGAUACCUAGUUUAAAAGCUCUGUGAUUUUGGACAAGUUCUUUAAUCUUUGAACCUCAAUUUCCACAGGAGUGAAAGGAGAUAAUAACGCCAACUGGGAAUAUUUGGAUCAUGACAAUUAAACCAGAUCACCAUUAUCAGACAAUCACAUACAAGGAGCACCCUUCUCCUUUUCUUUCAAGUUUUUCCUUUUCACAAAUGGUAGUAAAUUUUUCUUCAGGAGAUGUCUGCAUUGUAAAAAGUAGAGCUCAAUCAUUCCACAAAGUUUUGUACCCCUGGGUUUGGAGGAUCAUUACCCAUACACCUUUAUGGGGAUCACCAUUCAGUGAAAAAGACAGGAAAGGUAACAUAGUAAUGAGUUAAAAUGUCAAAGGGAGAGAAGUGGAUACAAAAUUGUGUGUGUUCCCCAAUAAGAUAUGGCCAGAUCUAUUCCAGGAGGGAGCCUUAGAAGAAUAACCCUUAAGGUGAGUCUUCCAAAAUGAGUAAAUAUUUGCCAAGUAAAGGAGGAUGGGGGCAUUAUUAGCAUGGGCUAAAUGCUUGGUCCAUGGGUGGUGGGGAGAAGGUUGGUAGUUGGCAUAUGAGUCCUUAACAGAUGCUAAAAGUUAUUCAAAUGCCACUUCCGCUGCAGAGCUCCCUCUGAUCCCUUAUACAGGAAACCCUCUCUACCGUCUUAGCGCUUUAAUUGCACCACAUCUGUGGAUUUCUUUGACAUUUACUACUUCCUGCUUUGCAUUAGAGCUAUUUGUGGACAUAUUUUACUUUCAUUAUACACUAGAGAACCCAGAGCCUGUUUUAUCCUCAUACUCCCCACAGUGCCUUCAACUUAAAAUUAUAUCUGUAUAUGCUCUUUUUAAAUUUUUUGAACGAAAGCCAGUAUAUGUCACAUUCACUCACUCCAUCACAUUGGGGUUCUUGGUCAUUUUAUUUAUGGACUUUACAAGGGUGCAAAGAGGCUUGUCUUUUUGUUAUACAGCUUGUUGCCUAGUAAGCAUUGAUAGCUGUGUAGCACCUUCCUCAUCACUCAUGGAACUUGGCUGAGCUGGUUUUGCUACUGCUAUUAAAGAAAUGGUUUUCUUCUAGCAUCAUUGAUUCUUCUAGAGUAGAAAAAAUAACUAUCCAACUUAGAGCUUCUCAGGCUUGAGCCUCACAAGAAACCCCCAGAAGAUGUGAUUUGCUAAGUUCCCAGAAGAGGUAGAGAGUAGCUGGGAUCCUGGGUCUUUGUGGGGCCAAUUCAAGGAUAUUUUCUUUUUCAGUCUUUCGGGUUUAGACCCUUUUCAAUCAACUAAUUGGAACUAUGGUUGGCUCUGAGUCAAACCUGCCAAGAAGACUGUUAAUAUUCACCUCAUUAUCUUGAUUAUUAUGGGUAGUAAUAGAAGUAAUACUAUAUUACAGAAAUAUCAUUCAUAGUGCCUUACACUUAUCGAGCAUUAACUAUGGCCAGGCACUUUCUAAAUACUUUGUCAAUACUAACUAAAUUCACAUCCAAGCAAUUCAUUGACUUGGUUGCUAUUAGUAUCCUCAUUAAAUAGAUGAUGAAACCAAAGCACAGAGAACUUAAAUAUUUGUACUUUGCCUAUGUAUCACACCUGAUAAGUGGUGACCCGGGACAUGAACCAAGAGAAAUUUGCUCUCUUGCCUGGCCUUUUGUCUGCUAUGUCACCUCACUGAUCCACUUACUUGAGGAAAUAUUAUUGUCUCCAUUUUACAAAGAUUGUGCAAGGACUUUAAAUGACUUGCCUAAUUCUGUACAUUGGAAAAUAGUACAGCCAGGAUAUGCAGUCCAGUCAAUCCAGUUCUAAAGUCUGAGUCUGGAACUCUGAUUCUCACCCUUCAUCAAGGUUUGUAUAACACCCUUUAACACUACCUUCUACUAUCUAUCUCAUGAUUGUUUCCUAGGGUGAAGGAGAAGUGAACAAUGUGACUUUGAAAGUAGUAGAGUCAUCAGUGAGGUCAAUUGAAAGAGAUUUAAUGACUCUACGAGUGAAUUAAUUUCAGGAUAUUUGAGUUAUUAGGAAUGCUUCCUAUAGUAUCCAUUGAAGAUGUCUUACCUCACUAUCCUCUACAGUGAAAACUGCAGUCACCUUAUUAUAUUUUGCAAUGGUCCAAACUUGAGGCUGUGGUUUAGGACAAACAGAGUCAAAAAUCUGGGCCAAAGAGUGGGAAGGAAAUAUCCCAAAGGGUAAAUAUACAGGGCACAUUACAUCAAAAUCACUUUCAUUUUUUGAAAUUCUGAAGGGAUACGAGGCAGAGACCAGAGAAGCCAAAUAUGCCUUCAUGCCAGGAAUCAAGGCUGGUCUAGAAGCCCAAACACAACAGCCAAAGUAAGUAGAGCCCUCUGCAGAAAAGUGAAAAAGAUGGCUUCUCUGGAUUGUUAGCUCAGGAUGAGUUCCAUAGGAAAUACAUAGAAAAUAAAAGUAGUUGAUUCAUUGCUACCAGUGUAACCCAAUGCAAUGGAAUCUUAAAUGGACAGCCCCCUGUUCAUUGUGUUUCUACACAUCAAGUUUCAUGGAGCCUUGAACAUGGACUGAUGAAUUUGAUCACUACAGCAAACUUCUGCUGAUUGACCUGAAGUAUCUAUUUUAUGUUUCUUUCCUUCAAUAACACAUGACGAAAUAGCCAGGUUUUCAUUUAAUUCCCUGAAAUAGCAAAAGAGAUUUAGCAGGGUGCAUAAAGUAAGGUGUUUCUUAUCUAUUAUGAGGAUGAAAUUAGUGUUAUGUGUUUAUUUAUAGAUGAUGCCUACAGUUGUCCUUCUUAAAUGAAAUCUGAUAAUUGGGAGUGGCUGUAAGAAAUGUCAGUGGGUGCUCCCAAAUAAGUAAGGGUCUGUGGAAGCAAGGAACUCUCUUUCCACAUAUGUAACUGAACUUGACAAAGCUGCCGCAUUUUGCUUUGGAAUCACCAAUAGCAAGUUAUAUGACAAAUAACCCUUUAACAGUCUCUUUAGUUAUUCCUAUUGCUUACAUUAAAUUACUAAACUGAUAGAUCAGAAGGUGAUUAUUUUGGUCACAUUGACAGAUCGUACAAUGAACUCCUUAACAGUAAAACUUGUUUGAAAAGAGGCCUAGCAAAUUGGGUGAGAAACAAAAGCAGUUUCUUUUGAUUGUUGCUUCCCUUUGUUUUCCAUUCCUGAUCUUCAAACAUGCUAUGUCAAAAUCUCCCUUUUCCAUCCUUAAAAAAAUAACUCAGCAGGGUUCUAUAACCUUCCAGUCCUUCUCAGAUAUUCAAACUCAGCUUAGCCUAUUUUAAAACUAAAAUCUCAAAUUGGAUUCAAAUUUCUUCCCCUCUUUCCCCCAGUUGUCCACAGGACAGAUUUGACAUGGCUGCUUGGAUUGGAAAAAGGAGGAGAAAGUUAUCCUUGAUAUUGUCAGGAGUCUUCCUCUUCUUAGUCAAGCUCUUCUGGCCUUCCUUGUCUGGCUCUGAUCAGGAAGAUCUGAAGUCACAAUUGGUUUCUCCUAUCUUUGACUUUCUGGUGUUGGAUGAGAAGGCAAAAGAGGAAGGGUUUGUCAAAAUUGGUAGGAAAGUCUGGUUGGGCCUGGUCCUUGACUUCACUGAUUCUCUUUGCAACUGGUAACACCACUCAUGACGUACUCUUUGUCCCUGUGAUGUGUAGUUUAACCUUCAGAACAUCUUUCUGAGAAUUUGCCUGUUCCCAUGAUGUCCCCAAAAGUCCUUGGCCUACUUCUCUAUUGGCCAAGAGAACACCUGGGCAGCCUUAAGUCCCCUGACCCUUCUUUGGCUUUAAUGCUUCUUCAUUUGGAGAUAAAACCACUGAGUCCUCUUUGUAUGCUCUGAGGGAAGGAAGGCCAUUUAGGGUGGGGUAGUGGCUCUGCCUUUUUCCAGGCACAGUACUUCACAGUCCCAGCAGGGACUACUCCCAUAGGUGUCUUUAACCUCCUUCCUAGUAGACUUCCUCCCUUUAAGGACCUCUUUUGACCAACCUAGGUCCCAGCGUCCCUGAGAAUUUUUUUCCCAAAAUUACAAGAAGGCACCAGUUAAGAUCACACAGAAUCUCCCUCUCUGUGUUUUGCUCUACCAUGGCAGCACUAGGAUAUGCUAUAGUUUCUUGGUUCCAGAAAAUACCCAGAUAAAGAGUAAGAAGUCAGUUCUCUUUCUUACAGACACCUCCAGGCUCUACAAGCUAUUCUCUUGAAAUCUUAUUCUGCAACCAAUUAUCUUGAGAAUGGGAUGAAAUAGCCUCUCCCCAUGAACCUGCAGUCCUCAUAGACCUGAGAUUUUUCUCCUCCAUGAUGUAUUCCAUAGGUAGACUGAGAAUGAGGUGUGACGUUGAACUGAAUGAAAUAUAGUUGGUGGUAGCAGCCUCCAUUUACGUCACCUGGGAGAAACGUCUUACCACAACUAUAGUUGGAGAACUGAUGAAUUGAGAGUAUGGGGUAUCUAUCAAUCUCAUUUUCAGUUGUAUAUAAUUUUUACUGAUUUCAAGAAAAUAUAAAAACUUGUUUCAUAGAGUUAAAUUAGCCAUAAAAUAAAGACAAAUCUACACACACACACACACACACACAUAUAUAUGGGUUAUGGAACCCACAAUGGGUCUGGUUGCAAGGUAAAAUGGAUGCCAUAUCACUUCAACUUGUCCUGUCCAUUGCAUCCUAUACUACCUGAAAAGCCAGUGUAUAUGGGAUCUCCAAAAUCAGAAUGCUAGUCCUAGAAGGGAGUUGCCAAGUAUCUUCCACCCACUAGCCAUGAAACUGGAACACUUACCCUCCUUCUCUUCAUCUGAGUUCUUUCCAGAAGUAGCCAUGCUUUUCACCACAGUGUCCACUUUGGAUCCCAGACUCAUCCUUGUAGCUAAUACUUUCAAAAGCAAAGGCAUGGAGAAAAGCAUUUGUGGUAACCAGGGUAGAUUUUGUUUGCAAGAGUCAAGAGGGUACCAUGUCACUGCUACUUCUCCUGUCCACCGCAUCCCCCGCCUCCUGAAGAACCAAUGUACUUCCUUCCUCUUCCCUUCCAGUGUCCUUUAGAGUUGUCCACACUGCUUCUUAUCAAGCACAAUUCUGC